This 486-nucleotide ribosomal RNA is filed under the name uncultured bacterium. RNAcentral describes it as "partial 16S ribosomal RNA". It matches the Rfam family "Bacterial small subunit ribosomal RNA", at positions 30 to 507 of the family's 1533-position model. The record is from RNAcentral.
AUUGAACGCUGGCGGCAUGCCUUACACAUGCCAGUCGAACGGCAGCACGGGUGCUUGCACCUGGUGGCGAGUGGCGAACGGGUGAGUAAUACAUCGGAACAUGUCCUGUAGUGGGGAAUAGCCCGGCGAAAGCCGGAUUAAUACCGCAUACGAUCUACGGAUGAAAGCGGGGGACCUUCGGGCCUCGCGCUAUAGGGUUGGCCGAUGGCUGAUUAGCUAGUUGGUGGGGUAAAGGCCUACCAAGGCGACGAUCAGUAGCUGGUCUGAGAGGACGACCAGCCACACUGGGACUGAGACACGGCCCAGACUCCUACGGGAGGCAGCAGUGGGGAAUUUUGGACAAUGGGCGAAAGCCUGAUCCAGCAAUGCCGCGUGUGUGAAGAAGGCCUUCGGGUUGUAAAGCACUUUUGUCCGGAAAGAAAUCCUUGGCCCUAAUACGGUCGGGGGAUGACGGUACCGGAAGAAUAAGCACCGGCUAACUACGUG